UCGACUAGACUUACGACAGGCUACACACGUGCUACAAUGGCAUAUACAAAGAGAAGCGACCUCGCGAGAGCAAGCGGACCUCAUAAAGUAUGUCGUAGUCCGGAUUGGAGUCUGCAACUCGACUCCAUGAAGUCGGAAUCGCUAGUAAUCGUAGAUCAGAAUGCUACGGUGAAUACGUUCCCGGGCCUUGUACACACCGCCCGUCACACCAUGGGAGUGGGUUGCAAAAGAAGUAGGUAGCUUAACCUUCGGGAGGGCGCUUACCACUUUGUGAUUCAUGACUGGGGUGAAGUCGUAACAAGGUAACCGUAGGGGAACCUGCGGUUGGAUCACCUCAAGAAAACCU
RNAcentral lists this ribosomal RNA (346 nucleotides) under Klebsiella pneumoniae. RNAcentral describes it as "bacterial SSU rRNA". It matches the Rfam family "Bacterial small subunit ribosomal RNA", at positions 1190 to 1533 of the family's 1533-position model. The record is from RNAcentral. Lineage: Bacteria; Pseudomonadati; Pseudomonadota; Gammaproteobacteria; Enterobacterales; Enterobacteriaceae.